Long non-coding RNA from Chelonia mydas (Green sea turtle), 172 nucleotides. RefSeq lists it as uncharacterized. The record is from RefSeq and is a predicted model, not a curated record. The transcript is spliced from 3 exons. Lineage: Eukaryota; Metazoa; Chordata; Testudines; Cheloniidae.
UCUUGCGAACAUGUGUAUAAGUGCUUGAGACUAAGUAAAGUUUAGCUUUAAGUGAAAGCACUCUUGUGUUGUCCUGUUUUGUGCCAGCCAUCUAUCAGUCAGAUGGCCAUGUCUCCCCUGAUAUAUUUCCUGACACCACUGUGCACAGAGAGAAAGAGCGUCGUGUGGGGAA